AGUGAACGCUGGCGGUAGGCCUAACACAUGCAAGUCGAACGGCAGCACAGUAAGAGCUUGCUCUUACGGGUGGCGAGUGGCGGACGGGUGAGGAAUACAUCGGAAUCUACUUUUUCGUGGGGGAUAACGUAGGGAAACUUACGCUAAUACCGCAUACGACCUACGGGUGAAAGCAGGGGAUCUUCGGACCUUGCGCGAUUGAAUGAGCCGAUGUCGGAUUAGCUAGUUGGCGGGGUAAAGGCCCACCAAGGCGACGAUCCGUAGCUGGUCUGAGAGGAUGAUCAGCCACACUGGAACUGAGACACGGUCCAGACUCCUACGGGAGGCAGCAGUGGGGAAUAUUGGACAAUGGGCGCAAGCCUGAUCCAGCCAUGCCGCGUGGGUGAAGAAGGCCUUCGGGUUGUAAAGCCCUUUUGUUGGGAAAGAAAAGCAGCAGGUUAAUACACGGCUGUUCUGACGGUACCCAAAGAAUAAGCACCGGCUAACUACGUG
RNAcentral lists this ribosomal RNA (492 nucleotides) under uncultured bacterium. RNAcentral's name for it is "partial 16S ribosomal RNA". It matches the Rfam family "Bacterial small subunit ribosomal RNA", at positions 29 to 507 of the family's 1533-position model. The record is from RNAcentral.